UAGGUUUUUGAUUCUAUAGAG
This 21-nucleotide non-coding RNA is filed under the name Caenorhabditis elegans. The record is from RNAcentral. Lineage: Eukaryota; Metazoa; Nematoda; Chromadorea; Rhabditida; Rhabditidae.